Molecule: ribosomal RNA, 370 nt
Filed under: uncultured bacterium
Lineage: Bacteria
Description: bacterial SSU rRNA
Rfam family: Bacterial small subunit ribosomal RNA
Source: RNAcentral
AAUGAACGCUGGCGGCGCGCCUAAUACAUGCAAGUCGAGCGAGAAGACGUAGCAAUACGUUUGUAAAGCGGCGAACGGGUGAGGAAUACAUGGGUAACCUACCCUCGAGUGGGGAAGUAACUAGCCGAAAGGUUAGCUAAUACCGCGUACGCUCCUUGGACUUCGGUUCAGGGAGGAAAGCGAUACCGUGGGUAUCGCGCUCUUGGUUGGGCUCAUGUCCUAUCAGCUUGUUGGUGAGGAACGGCUCACCAAGGCUUCGACGGGUAGCUGGUCUGAGAGGACGAUCAGCCACACUGGCACUGCGACACGGGCCAGACUCCUACGGGAGGCAGCAGUAAGGAAUAUUGCGCAAUGGGCGAAAGCCUGACGC